AUCGCUUCUCGGCCUUUUGGCUAAGAUCAAGUGUAGGAAUGCCCAGUCCUUUUUUUUUUUUUUUUUUUUUUUUUUUUUUUUUUUUUUUUGUCUUGUUUGUGAAAUAGCAAACCAAACAAAAGAAACCAGCCUCUAGCAGCAACCCUUGGACUCCAG
This 156-nucleotide small nuclear RNA is filed under the name Rattus norvegicus (Norway rat). RNAcentral describes it as "U2 spliceosomal RNA". It matches the Rfam family "U2 spliceosomal RNA". Rfam says of the family: U2 is a small nuclear RNA (snRNA) component of the spliceosome (involved in pre-mRNA splicing). The record is from Rfam by way of RNAcentral. Lineage: Eukaryota; Metazoa; Chordata; Mammalia; Rodentia; Muridae.